GACGAACGCUGGCGGCGUGCUUAACACAUGCAAGUCGAACGGAAAGGCCCCUUUGGGGGUCCUCGAGUGGCGAACGGGUGAGUAACACGUGAGUAACCUGCCCUUGACUUCGGGAUAACUUCAGGAAACUGGGGCUAAUACCGGAUAGGAAUCCUUGCUGCAUGGUGGGGGUUGGAAAGCUUCGGCGGUUUUGGAUGGACUCGCGGCUUAUCAGCUUGUUGGUGGGGUAGUGGCUUACCAAGGCUUUGACGGGUAGCCGGCCUGAGAGGGCGACCGGCCACAUUGGGACUGAGAUACGGCCCAGACUCCUACGGGAGGAAGCAGUGGGGAAUAUUGCACAAGGGGCGGAAGCCUGAUGCAGCAACGCCGCGUGCGGGAUGACGGCCUUCGGGUUGUAAACCGCUUUCAGCAGGGGCGAAGCUUGUGGUGACGGUACCUGCAGAAGAAGCACCGGCUAACUACGUG
RNAcentral lists this ribosomal RNA (465 nucleotides) under uncultured bacterium. Its description in RNAcentral is "partial 16S ribosomal RNA". It matches the Rfam family "Bacterial small subunit ribosomal RNA", at positions 28 to 507 of the family's 1533-position model. The record is from RNAcentral.